GACGAACGCUGGCGGCGUGCCUAAUACAUGCAAGUCGAACGCAGUGGGGACGGGUGAGUAACACGUGGGUCACCUCCCAUCAUAGGGGAUAACACUUGGCAACAGGUGCUAAACCGAUACGGCUGGAUGGACCCGCGGUUCAUUAGCUUGUUGGUGAGGUAACGGCUCCCCAAGGCCAAGUUGCAUAGCCGCCCUGGGGGGGGGAACGGUCACACUGGGACAGGGACACGGACCAAACUCCUACGGGAGGCCGGAGUAGGGAAUCUUCGGCAAUGGACGAAAGGCCGACCGAGCAACGCCGCGGGAGUGAAGAAGGGUUUCGGAUUGUAAAACUCUGUUGUUAGAUAAGCGGUAUCUAACCAGAAAGCCACGGCUAACUACGUGCCAACCGCCGCGGUAAUAC
Molecule: ribosomal RNA, 403 nt
Filed under: uncultured bacterium
Lineage: Bacteria
Description: partial 16S ribosomal RNA
Rfam family: Bacterial small subunit ribosomal RNA
Source: RNAcentral